AUACGUGGGGGGCAAGCGUUGUCCGGAAUUACUGGGCGUAAAGGGUGCGUAGGCGGAUAUGCAAGUCCGAUGUGAAAUGUUACGGCUUAACCGUGGAGUUGCAUUGGAAACUGUGUAUCUAGAGUGCAGGAGAGGGAAGCGGAAUUCCUAGUGUAGCGGUGAAAUGCGUAGAUAUUAGGAGGAACACCAGUGGCGAAGGCGGCUUCCUGGACUGUAACUGACGCUGAGGCACGAAAGCUGGGGCAGCGAACAGGAUUAGAUACCCUGGUAGUCCCAGCCGUAAACGAUGGGUACUAGGUGUUGUCACUUCAUUGUGGCAGUGCCGGAGUUAACGCAAUAAGUACCCCGCCUGGGGAGUACGGCCGCAAGGCUGAA
This 375-nucleotide ribosomal RNA is filed under the name uncultured bacterium. RNAcentral's name for it is "bacterial SSU rRNA". It matches the Rfam family "Bacterial small subunit ribosomal RNA", at positions 523 to 898 of the family's 1533-position model. The record is from RNAcentral.